CUUUAGCUUCUGCAGCUCCAAAAAAACCCCCAAGUCGCCGAGAUGCAGCUCCAAAAAUCCCCAAGUCGCCGAGAAGCCCAGAGCUGCAAAUCUCGCUCCUCUCUCUCUCGGAACACCACGGGAGGUUGUCAUCGGAAUCUGCGGAAAUCGGGCUGAUUUCGGGGUCUCUGAAGGGGAUGGUGUUCGGAAUUGCAUUGAUGGCCUGCUGGGGUAACGGUUAUGGCUGGUUGUUGUUGUUGCUUCAUUGUUUCGUCGUGUUGAGAUUUGAAUUGCUUUGUGAAAUGCUAGUGUGAUUUAUGGAUUUAACUCAGUUUCUGUUGCUUCAUUGUUUCUCAAAUUCAAUCUCAGCUGCUUAUGGAUUUAACUACUGUUUUGGUUUCUAGGUCUUUUACGAUUCCUUCACGAAUCAUUUGAAGGGCGUUGGGGGUCUUAAUUUGGUGGUAUUGAGAAUUAAAAGGCCGCUUCCUUCGUGGUGGCUGUAGUGGGUGCUUGAGGGGUGAAUCUGUGCUUAUGGUGGAGGAUUGGAGGCUUUGGCGUUCAUCUGAC
This 546-nucleotide long non-coding RNA is filed under the name Rosa chinensis. RNAcentral describes it as "sRNA RchiOBHm_Chr2g0112451". Lineage: Eukaryota; Viridiplantae; Streptophyta; Magnoliopsida; Rosales; Rosaceae. The record is from RNAcentral.